Molecule: ribosomal RNA, 389 nt
Filed under: uncultured Scuticociliatia
Lineage: Eukaryota; Ciliophora; Oligohymenophorea
Description: partial small subunit ribosomal RNA
Rfam family: Eukaryotic small subunit ribosomal RNA
Source: RNAcentral
GCUUGUCUCAAAGAUUAAGCCAUGCAUGUCUAAGUAUAAAUGUUAUACAGUGAAACUGCGAAUGGCUCAUUAAAACAGUUAUAGUUUAUUUGAUAAUCGAAUUUACAUGGAUAACCGUGGUAAUUCUAGAGCUAAUACAUGCUAUCAAGCCCGACUUCUUGAAGGGUUGUAUUUAUUAGACUUAAGCCAAUAUUCCUUGUGUCUAUUGCGAUGAUUCAUAAUAACUGAUCGAAUCUCAAAUUUGAGAUAAAUCAUUCAAGUUUCUGCCCUAUCAGCUUUGGAUGGUAGGGUAUUGGCCUACCAUGGCUUUAACGGGUAACGGAGAAUUAGGGUUCGAUUCCGGAGAGGGAGCCUGAGAAACGGCUACCACAUCCAAGGAAGGCAGCAGG